GCACUUAAGUGUACUUACAUGGUGAAAAUCCGCCAUGUAAGUUUUGGGGUUUAUUAAAAACCCCAAAUCCAGACAGAACGCAUUCUGUUCUUAUUUUCUCCACUGCCGCCACCGAUCUCUAUCGUCGCUGCUCUCCGUUGCGUCCGUCGCUGCCUCCAUUCUCGCCGUCGACCGCUUGCCUGCUCUUGCCUCCGGUAGACGCCUCGUCCGUCCCUACUGUGGUCUAGUCGCCGGUCCGUUUUGGUUAGUUUUAAUUAGUUUUUGUGAUUUUGGUGAUUUUUGUGAUUUUUGAUUUUUGAUUUCAAUGAAAUGUUUAUCUAUGUGAAGAAAUAAAAUGGAUUAGAUGGG
This 348-nucleotide long non-coding RNA is filed under the name Zostera marina. Its description in RNAcentral is "long non-coding RNA (ZMAR_LNC004241)". Lineage: Eukaryota; Viridiplantae; Streptophyta; Magnoliopsida; Alismatales; Zosteraceae. The record is from RNAcentral.